UCUUUGUAAUUAGGGCUACAUCAUGCAUUUGUAUAUAUACUAAAGUUAUACCUCAGCUGCAUUUUAUCACAGCUGAGAUUUGUCCAGUACACAACUUAUCUUUAUAUUCUUCCCUUGUUAUGAGAGCCCUCAUGGCUAACGCCGGCAAUAAAACAGCCACCACAUGAAAGAACCAAUCCAAGGAGGACUUCUCAACAUCAAAAACUACAAAUGUGACAAUCCAGAGCAUCAUUAAAGCUGCCAGUAACUCAGAUUAUGAGAGCCAAACUUGGAGUGGUGAACAGACCUCUACCACUGCCAAGUUUGAGGAGGAAUAUUGAGACAAGCAUAACUAACGGCAAGUAGUUUUUUCCCUUAUGUAAAUGAGUUGACAACUCAUAUCCCUUUAUCCUCAUUAAGAAACUUGUAACAUCCUUACUUGUCUUUAUUAUUAGGGCUGCAUCAUGUGUUUUUAUAUAUACUAAAGUUAUACAUCAACUGCAUUUUGUCAUA
This is a long non-coding RNA of Ricinus communis (castor bean), 492 nucleotides long. RefSeq lists it as uncharacterized. The record is from RefSeq and is a predicted model, not a curated record. The transcript is spliced from 2 exons. Lineage: Eukaryota; Viridiplantae; Streptophyta; Magnoliopsida; Malpighiales; Euphorbiaceae.